UAUAUGAAAGCGUACGACAGUACAAUGUCUUUUAAGGUCCGUGUAAACGUUAAAAUUUCUUUGUUAAAUUCGUCGUCUGAUUUCCACGGGAUUAUCAAACAAACGUGCAAAUGUACCAGCCCAGUUUGUCAAACAAAAUCUCACGGUUGAAGCAGUUCUCACUUUGUGUGUAACGCGCAGUGAAAUUUUGAGAACAUAUGUUAAUGGGAAAUAGCUACCAAUGAGGCCAAAGCAUUUCAUGCAGGGAAUUGAAAUUUGCUCACACGCCACUUGGAGCGCUGGCGCUGCAAGUUUUAUCAUGUCUAUUUGUUAUUGGUUGAUUGUAAGCAUUUCAAUAUUUGUUUUCGCUUCGUUCAAAACAGCUGACAGCAGUUUAUACACCACGGACAGGGGCAAAUUUGUUAAUGUGAACUGCUUCUUGUGUGUAUCGUCUUAAUUAAAUUGCAUUUUAAGUGUGUUGCGGAUAUUCUGCUAAUUUUUUAAAUGCACGAUGUUGAGUGAUGUAAAUAACUCUCAUGUUUGUGUUUGUUUCGUUUUUGGAGUCGCAUGUAUUUGUUCCUGGUAACGAAGACCUUUUGUGUGUAUUUCUCGAAUUAAUUGUGUUAAUUUUUGAUUAUAAUAACAGACAAGUGAAGAUGGAUCAUAUGGGAAAGAAAAAUUCUGGUUUAAGAUUGAAAUACUCAUGAAAACCUCACCAAAAGCAAACCAUCGAAACGAACCACACAACAUGAAUGGACGUGGCUUGGGUACUUGAGACCACUACUCAACUUUGACGUCCUGGGUCGGUGAACCACGAAGCUCGUAGCAAUCGGACAGCUCCACACACGCUCCGACACUGCGCAGGGACCGCCAGCAGACCCAGCUGACUGCAGUGUGUGGAGAUAACUUCCUUGGUUCGCAGCAACCGACCAACUGCCCUCAGAAUGCCGACAGCAUAGUCAUCAGUGGCAUCGUCUGGUAGGACAACCGACCAACGAUCCACCAAGCCUGUGGCCUGGCUCAAGUGAUGCGUGGCGGCAAUGGUCGGGCAAGCCAUGUUCAGCAGACCUCACUGCUGCUCCAACCCGACUGCACUAGUGCCGCACUGCAACUCCCGGACUGGCAGGCCCGGACUGUGCUACAGUCGCGUUCCAACUGACUGGCAGCCCAAACUCGCGACCUGAACUGGCUUACGACCGACGACGACUGGGAAGUAAUAGCAGUCGAGCAGAGACUACGAGAGGGGAUAUAUCGAUACGCGCUGCGAGUGCCAGUCACGGUCAUGCAAAGCAGCAACUCAGUGACAGCAGUAAUUUAAAUUAAUGUAGUGAGAUGGAAACACGUUAAAAACAUUGUGUAAAAUACGUGAUGGCGGGAACAUGAGCCACGCAUGGCUCACUGGUCUCAAGAUAUUGUAUUUCUUUGAAGCUACUCGGAGUGAAGAAGAUUUUUUUUUAUUGCAUUGUUCUGUCACUGUCUCACACGAAACAACACUUUUUCUAAAAUAUUUUGGCCACCAGUUGUUGAAAUGUGGUAUUUCCUCUCCAUUAACUAAUUUUACUGUCACACCCCUUUUACCGCUCACUAUCAGUUCCGCGUAUACAUAAGGGGUGUAAAUGCGGUCAUGAAUUUUUAUUUCCCUCUUAUAUUGUCUAAGGUCACGAUCAUACAGGAGGAAUGAGUGACCUCUCUCUGGAAAAUUGUGUAUUAUGCUCUUGAGUAUCCCUGCUUGAAUUGUGCCCAUACAAAUGUGUAUAAAGGAGUGAUUUUUGUUCUGGCCGACACAGCCAUCAUAAAACAAAAGAAGAUCAGUCACAUUUUUACUGUGAUCAUUUUUUAUGUAAUCAGAAACGAAAGAUGCUACUCUGUUUGCACCUAUCCUUCCUGAGCCUUCAUGGUGCAAGUACCCAGUGCAGUGUUCAUUUUUCAAAUCAUGUAUGCUGAAACAGUACACAGCAGAUAGAAUAUCUCUUGGACAGAUGUAUGUGGAAAUGGCAAGUUUUGCACAUAAUCAAAAACAUUGGCUCCCAUAGUAUCAAUAGAUUGAGCUCUUCUCUUAGCAUCCCGAGGUGAGAUGUAAAAUUUAGAACUACGACGCUUAUGAACAUUUAAUUCCACUCUGGUGAUAAGCUUGACUCUUUCAUUUAAA
Molecule: RNA transcript, 2128 nt
Organism: Schistocerca cancellata (South American locust)
Lineage: Eukaryota; Metazoa; Arthropoda; Insecta; Orthoptera; Acrididae
Exons: 3
Source: RefSeq, a predicted model, not a curated record